AGCUCCAAUAGCGUAUAUUAAAGUUGUUGCAGUUAAAAAGCUCGUAGUUGGAUUUCUGAUACGAAUGUCCGGUCCGCUUAUGUAUUUAAGUGUGUACUAUGUGAUAUUUGUUUCAUUUUUUGUGAGGAAAUUUCUCUGUCAUUAAGUUGAUGGGUUUAUGGACUUGCAUCUUUUACUGUGAAAAAAUUAGAGUGUUUAAAGCAGGCGUUUGCCUUUGAAUACAUUAGCAUGGAAUAAUAAGAUAUGACUUUGGUGGUCUAUUUUGUUGGUUUGCACACCAGAGUAAUGAUUAAUAGGGACAGUUGGGGGUAUUCAUAUUUCAGCGUCAGAGGUGAAAUUCUUAGAUCGCUGAAAGAUGAGCUUAGGCGAAAGCAUUUACCAAGGAUGUUUUCAUUAAUCA
Molecule: ribosomal RNA, 400 nt
Filed under: phytoplankton environmental sample
Lineage: Eukaryota
Description: partial small subunit ribosomal RNA
Rfam family: Eukaryotic small subunit ribosomal RNA
Source: RNAcentral